GAUGAACGCUGGCGGCGUGCCUAAUACAUGCAAGUCGAGCGAACGGACGAGAAGCUCGCUUCUCUGAUGUUAGCGGCGGACGGGUGAGUAACACGUGGAUAACCGACCUAUAAGACUGGGAUAACUUCGGGAAACCGGAGCUAAUACCGGAUAAUAUUUUGUACCGCAUGGUUCAAACGUGAAAGACGGUCUUGCUGUCACUUAUAGAUGGAUCCGCGCUGCAUUCGCUAGUUGGUAAGGUAACGGCUUACCAAGGCAACGAUGGAUAGCCGACCUGAGAGGGUGAGCGGCCACGCUGGAGCUGGGACGCGGACCAGACUACUGCGGGAGGCAGCAGUAGGGAAUCUUCCGGAAUGGGCGAAGGCCUGACGGAGCAACACCGCGUGAGUGAUGAAGGUCUUCGGAUCGUAAAACUCUGUUAUUAGGGAAGUACAUAUGCGUAAGUAACUGUGCACAUCUUGACGGUACCAAAUCAGAAAGCCCCGGCUAACUACGUG
Molecule: ribosomal RNA, 497 nt
Filed under: uncultured bacterium
Lineage: Bacteria
Description: partial 16S ribosomal RNA
Rfam family: Bacterial small subunit ribosomal RNA
Source: RNAcentral